GACGAACGCUGGCGGCGUGCUUAACACAUGCAAGUCGAACGGUGAAGGGGAGCUUGCUCCCCGGAUCAGUGGCGAACGGGUGAGUAACACGUGGGCAACCUGCCCCAGACUUCGGGAUAACGCUUCGAAAGAGGUGCUAAUACCGGGUACGAACUCCUUGGGCAUCCUUGGGGUUGGAAAGUUUUUCGGUCUGGGAUGGGCCCGCGGCCUAUCAGCUUGUUGGUGAGGUAACGGCUCACCAAGGCGACGACGGGUAGCCGGCCUGAGAGGGCGACCGGCCUCACUGGGACUGAGACACGGCCCAGACUCCUACGGGAGGCAGCAGUGGGGAAUAUUGCGCAAUGGGCGAAAGCCUGACGCAGCAACGCCGCGUGAGGGAUGACGGCCUUCGGGUUGUAAACCUCUUUCAGCAGGGAAGAAGCGAAAGUGACGGUACCUGCAGAAGAAGCACCGGCUAACUACGUGCCAGCCGCCGCCGUAA
This 481-nucleotide ribosomal RNA is filed under the name uncultured bacterium. RNAcentral's name for it is "partial 16S ribosomal RNA". It matches the Rfam family "Bacterial small subunit ribosomal RNA", at positions 28 to 523 of the family's 1533-position model. The record is from RNAcentral.